CGCGUCGUAUCAGCUGACCAAAACUGACCAAUGAAAAUCCAGCAAUUCGUCCACCGCUGUUGUGUGUUUAUCCCAGAAAUACUUCAUUCAUUAAUUAUUAUCUCCGGCCUUCUUCGUUCCGAUUGAAAUGUGAAGAUCGAACCUUCUUAUAUAUCACCUAACUAUUAUUACCGACGUAGAUUUAUUGAUACGAGAUUACCCUAUGUCCUGGAUACAUUGAAAUAUAUUAUAUUCUGAAGGAUCAAAGGAAAAGCACCACACAGAACGGAUAUAAAAACAGAUAUCAGUACAGUGAAAUGUUUCUUCUGAACUUGAAAAAAUAGCAACAUCUUCCUUCAUUGCUGACUAGAAUAUCUUCUCUACAAGAUCUGUUGGAGAAAUUUACAAUUGGAGAAGUUUAUAAUUUAGCUUGUUGCAUAUUCAGAUUUUGAGAAAAAGAUACUGUUCAUGGAGGUGUAGUGGUGUAGAUUCCGUUUUGUAAGGAAGGAAUUGUAAAGAUAAACAGAACAGCGAUACCUGUGUAUUUUUGGUGAAAGAAGAAGAAUAAUGGAAACCAGCGACAAUAUUCAAGAAUUGAUUUUUCCGACAGAACGGAUAUAAAAACAGAUAUCAGUACAGUGAAAGGUUUCUUCUGAACUUGAAAAAAUAGCGACAUCUUCCUUGGAAUUGUAAAGACAAACAGAACAGCGAUACCUGUGUAUUUUUGGUGAAAGAAGAAGAAUAAUGGAAACUAGCGACAAUAUUCAAGAAUUGAUUUUUCCGACAGAACAGAUAUAAAAACAGAUAUCAGUACAGUGAAAGGUUUCUUCUGAACUUGAAAAAAUAGCGACAUCUUCCUUGGAAUUGUAAAGACAAACAGAACAGCGAUACCUGUGUAUUUUUGGUGAAAGAAGAAGAAUAAUGGAAACUAGCGACAAUAUUCAAGAAUUGAUUUUUCCGACAGAACGGAUAUAAAAACAGAUAUCAGUACAGUGAAAGGUUUCUUCAGAACUUGAAAAAAUAGCGACAUCUUCCUUCUUUGCUGUCCGGAAUAUCUUCUCUACAAGAUCUGUUGGAGAAAUUUACAAUUUAGCUUGUUGCAUAUUCAGAUAUACCUGUGUAUUUUUGGUGAAAGAAGAAGGAUAAUGGAAGCUGGUGACAAUAUUCAAGAAUUGAUUUUUCCGGAAAUCCUAACUGAAGGGAUAAAGAAAUCUUUAUACCCUUGCAGUGUCUGUGGGAAGUAUUUCGCUCAGAAAGGUAACUUAACGACUCACAUGCGAAGUCAUACAGGCGAGAAACCAUAUCACUGUAAUAUCUGUGGUAAAUCGUUUUCCGGAAGCAGUAACUUUGCUAAGCACCGGCGUAUCCAUACAGGGGAGAAGCCGUAUCACUGUGACGUGUGCGGAAAAUCGUUCACCGAGAAAGGGGUAUUGAUUAAGCACCAGCGUAUUCAUACGGGAGAGAAGCCGUAUAAGUGUAACGUGUGCGGAAAAUCGUUCUCUCGGAAUGGCGAGGUAACUGUUCAUCAGCGUAUUCAUACUGGAGAGAAACCUUAUCAUUGCGAAGUUUGCAGUAAAUCGUUUGCGAGAAACGGCGAAGUGAUUAUACACCGGCGUAUCCAUACGUUGGAGAAGCCAUACAAAUGCCACGUCUGCGGAAAGGCUUUCUCUGAAACUGGGCAUUUAACUACACACAUCCGCGUCCAUACUGGAGAGAAACCAUAUCACUGUGACAUCUGUGGUAAACGCUUCUCGCACGGAAAUACCUUAGCGAUACACAGGCGCAUUCAUUCAGGUGAGAAGCCGUAUAACUGUAAAGUCUGCGGUAAAUCGUUCUAUGAAAAUGGAAUUUUAAGCAAGCACAAGUGUGUCCAUGCGGGAGAGAAGUCCUUUCAGUGCGAUAUUUGCGGGAAAUCCUUUGCUGCGAAUGGGGUUUUGAAGAAACACCAGCAUGUUCAUACCGGGGAGAAACCCUAUCAUUGCGAUAUUUGUGGUAAAGCUUUCUCUUUGAGCCAUCAUUUGAUCAAACACAGACACAUUCAUACAGGUGAGAGACCGUAUCAUUGUGAUACCUGUGGGAAAUCGUUUUCUGGAAAUAGCGACUUGACCAGGCAUAAGCGUAUUCAUACAGGCGAGAGGCCGUAUCAGUGUGAAAUCUGUGAUAAAUCUUUCUCCGAAAGCGGCCACUUGACCAUCCACAUACGCAUUCAUACAGGUGAGAGGCCGUAUCAUUGUGACGUCUGUGGGAAAUCGUUCUCUGAGAAUGGAGUCUUGACCAAACACAAACGUAUUCAUACAGGCGAGAAGCCAUACCACUGUGAUUUCUGCGGGAAAUCGUUCACGCAAAACGGUGUCUUAACAAAACACAAGCUAAUUCAUAUCGAAGAGAAACCGUAUCACUGUGGGUUCUGUGGCGAAUCGUUCUCAGAAAGCAGCGAAUUAACCAAACACAGGGAAUCUCAUUCUUCAGAGAAAAAGUUCCACUGUGACAUCUGUGGUAAAUCUUUCUUCACGGUCAGUCAGUUGUCCGUACACACCCGUAUUCAUACAGGAGAGAAGCCAUUUCGCUGUGAUAUCUGUGGCAAAGCAUUUUCGAAAAACGGCGUCUUGACCACUCACAUGCGUAUUCACACCUCAGAGAAACCCUACAGUUGUGACAUCUGUGGAAAAGCCUUCUCUCAGAAGUCUAAUCUAACAAGACAUGUUAAUAUUCACACAGCAUAGUAACUGUAUCAGUGUCAAAAUUUAUUCUACAACGUACAACAACAAACAUUUUCACAGCAUUUUCUCUCUUUUACUUGUUUCAGUCAUUUGACU
Molecule: unclassified non-coding RNA, 2795 nt
Filed under: Octopus sinensis (East Asian common octopus)
Lineage: Eukaryota; Metazoa; Mollusca; Cephalopoda; Octopoda; Octopodidae
Description: zinc finger protein 665-like, transcript variant X5
Source: RNAcentral